RNAcentral lists this long non-coding RNA (490 nucleotides) under Gallus gallus (chicken). RNAcentral describes it as "lncRNA (ENSGALG00010004511.1)". Lineage: Eukaryota; Metazoa; Chordata; Aves; Galliformes; Phasianidae. The record is from RNAcentral.
GCAAGGAAGAGCUCAUCCAGUAGCGCUUCAAUUAUUUGACAUUUCUAUCACCGAUGAAGUUCUCCUUUUAGCUUUGGAAAAUGUUCAGUAUAACAUUUUCAAGUACUGAGCAACUCAUUUUUAUAUCUUCUGACAGCUUUAAGCCAGCUUUUUCUCCUGGGAGCUGAGGCUGUUUGUGUUAGUACACUCAUGGUGCCUGGAUCCAACCUCAUUGCUGAUAUCUAAGAAGUCCGACAUCUCCGUGAAGGUAUUUUAUUGCCAUUUUUAGCAGAAAUGUAUAUAUUCCAUCCUGAUGAGACAAGGUCCGCAUACUUUUCCUUCAGUGGGAAACUGAAAUGCAGGGAAACAGAUCUGAAGUCCAGUCUACCUUUCCUAUGCUUUUUGUUUGCCUCCAUCAGUGUGUACACAGAACUACACAACUGUCAGCAACAUCUGCUCAAGCCACAGAAAGAUUAAGUCAAAGGAAAAUGGAAGCUAUGAGAUGGACCAG